Patella vulgata (common limpet) is the source of this 635-nucleotide long non-coding RNA. RefSeq lists it as uncharacterized. The record is from RefSeq and is a predicted model, not a curated record. NCBI's taxonomy places the organism in Eukaryota, Metazoa, Mollusca, Gastropoda, Patellidae. The transcript is spliced from 3 exons.
UUAAGUGUUAGGGACGGUGAAAUGACAACCAACCAUGUAAACUCUAAUAAGCAAUAAACUUAUUUAUUCAUAUAUUAAAGUGUUCAUUUGGAAAAUCCGAGGGGACAAAGUUCAUGGGAAUUUGUAUUAUAAUUAAGGACUGUGCGGUGACGUGGAACGAUAUACCCUAUACAUGUGCAGGAGUUUUCGGUUAAAUAAUAGAUCUUUUAUUUGGCUCUUGUUCUUUGAGGGUUUGUAAAGUAAAACUUUUAGCAGUGAAUGUAAAGCGGUAUUACUGUUCGAACCCGGAGCAUUAUCAUUACAUUUAUUGAACAUGUAAAUUACAACCUCGGCAUGUAGCAGGGAUACUUUCUUAGCUAUACUCAUUACAGUGAAAUUAAAAGCAAAGAUGGGUGUUCGACUUUCAUCAAAAUGGGAUUUUAAACAAUAGCUGAUGCAGUUUACAAGGAUGAUUUAUACAAGAACAAGAGGAUUAUUGGCAAUAUUUAUUUAUCUAGUGCAAUAUGUAUCAUGUUGUAGUGAUAAUAUCAUUCUAACUGACGUCAUACCAUCUAGUCAUAUUACGUCACCAAACUAUGGUACUAAUAAAACCUAUCCACUUAAUACAUAUUGUCAAUGGAACAUUUCUUCAACCA